Molecule: ribosomal RNA, 404 nt
Filed under: uncultured bacterium
Lineage: Bacteria
Description: bacterial SSU rRNA
Rfam family: Bacterial small subunit ribosomal RNA
Source: RNAcentral
ACUCCUACGGGAGGCAGCAGUAGGGAAUUUUCCGCAAUGGACGAAAGUCUGACGGAGCAAUGCCGCGUGAGUGAUGAAGGUUUUCGAAUCGUAAAGCUCUGUUGUAAGGGAAGAAUAGCAAGAAUAGGAAAUGAUUCUUGUCUGACGGUACCUUACCAGAAAGCCACGGCUAACUACGUGCCAGCAGCCGCGGUAAUACGUAGGUGGCAAGCGUUAUCCAGAAUUAUUGGGCGUAAAGCGCAUGUAGGCGGCUUUUUAAGUCUGAUGUGAAAGCCAGUGGCUCAACCACUGAAUUGCAUUGGAUACUGGAAAGCUAGAAUCUUGGAGAGGUAAGUGGAAUUUCAUGUGUAGCGGUGGAAUGCGUAGAGAUCUGAAGGAAUACCAGUGGCGAAGGCGGCCCCCUC